This 523-nucleotide ribosomal RNA is filed under the name uncultured Brevundimonas sp. RNAcentral's name for it is "bacterial SSU rRNA". It matches the Rfam family "Bacterial small subunit ribosomal RNA", at positions 83 to 641 of the family's 1533-position model. Lineage: Bacteria; Pseudomonadati; Pseudomonadota; Alphaproteobacteria; Caulobacterales; Caulobacteraceae. The record is from RNAcentral.
CCUUCGGGGUUAGUGGCGGACGGGUGAGUAACACGUGGGAACGUGCCUUUAGGUUCGGAAUAGCUCCUGGAAACGGGUGGUAAUGCCGAAUGUGCCCUUCAGGGGAAAGAUUUAUCGCCUUUAGAGCGGCCCGCGUCUGAUUAGCUAGUUGGUGAGGUAACGGCUCACCAAGGCGACGAUCAGUAGCUGGUCUGAGAGGAUGACCAGCCACACUGGGACUGAGACACGGCCCAGACUCCUACGGGAGGCAGCAGUGGGGAAUCUUGCGCAAUGGGCGAAAGCCUGACGCAGCCAUGCCGCGUGAAUGAUGAAGGUCUUAGGAUUGUAAAAUUCUUUCACCGGGGACGAUAAUGACGGUACCCGGAGAAGAAGCCCCGGCUAACUUCGUGCCAGCAGCCGCGGUAAUACGAAGGGGGCUAGCGUUGCUCGGAAUUACUGGGCGUAAAGGGCGCGUANGCGGAUCGUUAAGUCAGAGGUGAAAUCCCANGGCUCAACCCUGGAACUGCCUUUGAUACUGGCGAUC